RNAcentral lists this ribosomal RNA (253 nucleotides) under uncultured bacterium. RNAcentral's name for it is "partial 16S ribosomal RNA". It matches the Rfam family "Bacterial small subunit ribosomal RNA", at positions 524 to 776 of the family's 1533-position model. The record is from RNAcentral.
GACGUAGGGGGCAAGCGUUGUCCGGAAUUAUUGGGCGUAAAGCGCACGCAGGCGGUCGCUUACGUUCCAGGUGACAGUCAUCGGCUUAACCGAUGAAGUACCUGGAAAACGGAGCGGCUUGAGAGCGAGAGAGGGAUACGGAAUUCCAGGUGGAGUAGUGAAAUGCGUAGAUAUCUGGAAGAACACCAAAGGCGAAGGCAGUAUCCUGGCUCGUUUCUGACGCUCGGGUGCGAAAGCUAGGGGAGCAAACAGG